UCCUGAAGGUGGUGUUUUCGGAGGAGGAGCUGAAAGGCAAGAGCCUCCGGGGAAGGAAGUGCAAUGCGCAGAAGGAGAGUGAAGUGAAGCCGGCCCUCGAUCCAGUAAAACUCCAAGCUGUCCUCGGAGUACAAGGGGGUCGCCCUCUUGACUCUCACCACGAGCCUUUCAACACUGUUGUGCAGGGACAUGAAAUAGGCUACAGACACAAGCAUGCGGCGGGACCAGCAAAGUGCAAUUUAAG
This is a long non-coding RNA of Ixodes scapularis (black-legged tick), 244 nucleotides long. RefSeq lists it as uncharacterized. Lineage: Eukaryota; Metazoa; Arthropoda; Arachnida; Ixodida; Ixodidae. The record is from RefSeq and is a predicted model, not a curated record. The transcript has 3 exons.